AAGGGCUGAAAGUUUCUGCAUGAUUCACCCACCAGAAACAAUUUUCUAGCUGAAAUGAAUGUCAACAAUUCUCUGUGGAAGCUAAUAUCACCAGCCUGCAAAUGGGAAAUGAAGGUUUUCUUCUGGAUACCCCAGAUCUUUGAUGAUGCCAGUGAGGAAACAUCCACACCCUUUGGUUAGACGGUGAAGCAUGAGGCUGUGGUUAUUUUCAUCAUUUACUCCAUGGAAGGUUGAAAGCUGUUAAGCAGAAUCAAUCUUAGGACAGAGAACGGUGGAACUCCGGAAGGUGCAACCUUACCAGCAUCUUGGUGGAUGCUUCCCGAUUGUAGCAUCCUUUUCAUCUUCAACUUAUAUUCCAAGCUGUUACCUAGAAUAAAUCCCACCAUUUCUAGCUAAUGCACGGUCUUUGUUUUGAAUGGAAAAGAGGGAAAAUAUAUUGAUCCCCUCUGGCAGCACAGGAGAUACGCCUAAAAUGGAAUAUCUUUCACCAUCAUGAAUAACAUUAAUCUUUACAGUUCUCCAAAGUAAAUAAUUACUGUAUAGUUGGCUUCCUAUUUAUAUGAAUUGACAGCAUCCUUUGAGUCUCCAGGUGACAGAAAUUCUCUCCAGAAACCAUUCUUAAGAUUAUUGUCAAAUUCCUUAAUGAGGAAUUAGAAGCUAAAGUGGCUAGCCUCUAGGUACAACCGGUUGGCAACAUGCUGAUCUUCUCCCUUCUGGAUUCUUCAGAGAGGGUUGAUGGAUAAAGCUCUGAAGAGCUGUUGAGCAUGCCAAGUCUUCUGGUGUGAGGGCAGCCACCAUGCCCCAGUCUAUGCUGAGCCUGUCUUGUGUAUUUCCAAGUACUCAGGUGGUUGGGGAACACAACAUUUCAGAUGAGGAAAUGACUUUGGUGAGCAUCACCUCAAGUAGCCACACUAUGUCCUUCUUUCAUUGAUC
RNAcentral lists this long non-coding RNA (933 nucleotides) under Zalophus californianus (California sea lion). Its description in RNAcentral is "lncRNA (ENSZCAG00015019008.1)". The record is from RNAcentral. Lineage: Eukaryota; Metazoa; Chordata; Mammalia; Carnivora; Otariidae.